RNAcentral lists this ribosomal RNA (497 nucleotides) under uncultured bacterium. RNAcentral's name for it is "partial 16S ribosomal RNA". It matches the Rfam family "Bacterial small subunit ribosomal RNA", at positions 28 to 507 of the family's 1533-position model. The record is from RNAcentral.
GAUGAACGCUGGCGGCGUGCCUAAUACAUGCAAGUCGAGCGAACAGACGAGGAGCUUGCUCCUCUGACGUUAGCGGCGGACGGGUGAGUAACACGUGGAUAACCUACCUAUAAGACUGGGGUAACUUCGGGAAACCGGAGCUAAUACCGGAUAAUAUAUUGAACCGCAUGGUUCAAUAGUGAAAGACGGUUUUGCUGUCACUUAUAGAUGGAUCCGCGCCGCAUUAGCUAGUUGGUAAGGUAACGGCUUACCAAGGCAACGAUGCGUAGCCGACCUGAGAGGGUGAUCGGCCACACUGGAACUGAGACGCGGUCCAGACUCCUACGGGAGGCAGCAGUAGGGAAUCUUCCGCAAUGGGCGAAAGCUUGACGGAGCAACGCCGCGUGAGUGAUGAAGGUCUUCGGAUCGUAAAACUCUGUUAUUAGGGAAGAACAAAUGUGUAAGUAACUAUGCACGUCUUGACGGUACCUAAUCAGAAAGCCACGGCUAACUACGUG